ACCAUAGCGUCAAGCUAAGAUGUGCCCAUGGCGUCUGGCUCCUCGCUACUUGCUCGCUCCAAAGCAUGCCAUCUCAGUUACGGCCGGCAGGUCUCACGAGCUCAGGAGCCUACGAGGAUCAUCUAGUUCACAGCCAUCAGGUGCCAGAACCCUGGAGCGCUUGGAUUGGUGAUCCCAUCGGUGCGCGUCUGCUCAGUAAUUCAUCAAGGAUCCUGAAGCCUGCAGUCAGCGGGGAUGAUCAUGGAAAAGGUGAAGCAACGAAUAUGGUUUGGGACGGAGUCAGCGUCGUCGUCGUGUUCAGCUAGGGCCAUCGAGCGUGCAGGCGUGCAGUGCUUGCCAGGACAGGCAAGAAUGGCGCAGCGUACAGCGUUUCCGUUUGUCGGGGAAGCUGCACAGCAAGUAUGAUCAAGUCCAUGGCUCAAUUUAUUAAGGGAAUAAAGGAGGCAGCACGUUAAUUAUCAAUGAGAAAAUUCUAGUGAAGUUUGGUACGCCAAGGCCCAAGGGUGUCCUCGACGCAUCGAUACAGGUGUGCCCUGUUACUCUACCUCUCUUUUUUUUAAGUCUGCC
RNAcentral lists this long non-coding RNA (567 nucleotides) under Setaria viridis. Its description in RNAcentral is "long non-coding RNA (SVIR_LNC003858)". Lineage: Eukaryota; Viridiplantae; Streptophyta; Magnoliopsida; Poales; Poaceae. The record is from RNAcentral.